This 446-nucleotide ribosomal RNA is filed under the name uncultured bacterium. Its description in RNAcentral is "partial 16S ribosomal RNA". It matches the Rfam family "Bacterial small subunit ribosomal RNA", at positions 329 to 792 of the family's 1533-position model. The record is from RNAcentral.
UUCCAGACUCCUACGGGAGGCAGCAGUGGGGAAUAUUGCACAAUGGGGGAAACCCUGAUGCAGCGACGCCGCGUGAGCGAUGAAGUAUUUCGGUAUGUAAAGCUCUAUCAGCAGGGAAGAAAAUGACGGUGCCUGACUAAGAAGCCCCGGCUAACUACGUGCCAGCAGCCGCGGUAAUACGUAGGGGGCAAGCGUUAUCCGGAUUUACUGGGUGUAAAGGGAGCGUAGACGGCGGUGCAAGCCAGAUGUGAAAGCCCGGGGCUCAACCCCGGGACUGCAUUUGGAACUGUGCUGCUAGAGUGUCGGAGAGGCAGGCGGAAUUCCUAGUGUAGCGGUGAAAUGCGUAGAUAUCAGGAGGAACACCGGCGGCGAAGGCGGCCUGCUGGACCGUAACUGACGUUGAGGCUCGAAAGCGUGGGGAGCAAACAGGAUUAGAUACCCCCGUA